GAUGAAGAACGCAGCGAAAUGCGAUACUUGGUGUGAAUUGCAGAAUCCCGUGAACCAUCGAGUCUUUGAACGCAAGUUGCGCCCGAAGCCAUUAGGCCGAGGGCACGCCUGCCUGGGCGCCACACGUCGUUGCCCCCCCCAUCUACUCCUUCGGGAUUGCGGGGGGCGGAUGAUGGCCUCCCGUGCGCCUCGCCGCGCGGUUGGCAUAAAUGCCAAGUCCUCGGCGACGCACGCCACGACAAUCGGUGGUUGCGAAACCUCGGUUGCCCGUCGUGUGCGGUCGUCGCGCAUCGAGGGCUCGAAAAAAUUGCCGAGUUCCGGCUCGGCUUUCAACGCGACCCCAGGUCAGGCGGGGUUACCCGCUGAAUUUAAGCAUAUCAAUAAGCGGAGGA
RNAcentral lists this unclassified non-coding RNA (392 nucleotides) under soil metagenome. Its description in RNAcentral is "partial contains 5.8S ribosomal RNA, internal transcribed spacer 2, and large subunit ribosomal RNA". The stretch from base 1 to 122 matches the Rfam family "5.8S ribosomal RNA", at positions 35 to 154 of the family's 154-position model. The record is from RNAcentral.